RNAcentral lists this non-coding RNA (29 nucleotides) under Mus musculus (house mouse). The record is from RNAcentral. Lineage: Eukaryota; Metazoa; Chordata; Mammalia; Rodentia; Muridae.
UAUGUUUGGUCCUUCAUAGCUAUCCUCGG